RNAcentral lists this small nuclear RNA (326 nucleotides) under Prolemur simus (greater bamboo lemur). RNAcentral describes it as "7SK RNA (ENSPSMG00000010387.1)". The stretch from base 1 to 276 matches the Rfam family "7SK RNA". From Rfam's summary of the family: 7SK was discovered as an abundant small nuclear RNA in the mid-70s but a possible function has only recently been suggested. Two independent studies have found that 7SK RNA binds the CDK9/cyclin T complex (known as elongation factor P-TEFb). P-TEFb activates transcription by phosphorylating the C-terminal domain of RNA polymerase II. Lineage: Eukaryota; Metazoa; Chordata; Mammalia; Primates; Lemuridae. The record is from Rfam by way of RNAcentral.
GGAUGUGAGGGCGAUCUGGCUGCGACAUCUGUCACCCAUUGAUGGCCAGGGUUGAUUCGGCUGAUCCGGCUGGCCAGGCGGGUGUCGCCCUCUCCCUCACCGCUCCAUGUGUGUCCCUCAUGGAAGAGGAUGACCUUCCCCGAUAGAGGAGAACCGUUCUUCCAUCAGGGGUAUACGAGUAGCUGCACUCCCCUGCUAGAACCUCCAAACAAGCUCUCAAAAAGAAAAAAAAGGGGAUAAAGAUUUGAGUAGAUAGUUCUCCAGAAAACAAAAACCAAAAACCAAAAAGCAGAAAUGGACAAUAAGCCAUAAAAAGAUGUUCAUUU